AGUAUAUAACUAACCUCACCUCGGAUACGCAAAGCGCCAAAGGACGUGGGUUGCUUUCAAAACUAAGAAACUAAAGAGGAACUAGCUGAGUUUAAACAGCGUACAUCACAAGUUACAAGUCGAAUUCACUUAAGUCGGACAUAACUUUCAUAUUGAAUGUUCUAUAGUAUCUAUUUUUAAGUGCUGAGAUAACAUGAUGCCCUUCAAAGCGGUAGGGGUAAUCCAUCCAACUACCUACCACCCUGCACAUUGUUUCAAGUUUGUUUUCACACAAAAGCAAUCGACCGUGAACUUAUCUGAUCUUCGAACAUCAAACACUCCAAAUUGGUCUGAUGUUAUUAUAUUGUUAGCUGCAAAUACUAAAUUCUGGGAACUAUACCAAUAUUGAAAUUAUUAAUAUUG
Long non-coding RNA from Galleria mellonella (greater wax moth), 402 nucleotides. RefSeq lists it as uncharacterized. The transcript has 2 exons. The record is from RefSeq and is a predicted model, not a curated record. Lineage: Eukaryota; Metazoa; Arthropoda; Insecta; Lepidoptera; Pyralidae.